AGUGAACGCUGGCGGUAGGCCUAACACAUGCAGGUCGAACGGCAGCACAGUAAGAGCUUGCUCUUACGGGUGGCGAGUGGCGGACGGGUGAGGAAUACAUCGGAAUCUACUUUUUCGUGGGGGAUAACGUAGGGAAACUUACGCUAAUACCGCAUACGACCUACGGGUGAAAGCAGGGGAUCUUCGGACCUUGCGCGAUUGAAUGAGUCGAUGUCGGAUUAGCUAGUUGGCGGGGUAAAGGCCCACCAAGGCGACGAUCCGUAGCUGGUCUGAGAGGAUGAUCAGCCACACUGGAACUGAGACACGGUCCAGACACCUACGGGAGGCAGCAGUGGGGAAUAUUGGACAAUGGGCGCAAGCCUGAUCCAGCCCUACCGCGUGGGUGAAGAAGGCCUUCGGGUUGUAAAGCCCUUUUGUUGGGAAAGAAAAGCAGCAGGUUAAUACCCCGCUGUUCUGACGUUACCCAAAGAAUAAGCACCGGCUAACUUCGUG
RNAcentral lists this ribosomal RNA (492 nucleotides) under uncultured bacterium. RNAcentral describes it as "partial 16S ribosomal RNA". It matches the Rfam family "Bacterial small subunit ribosomal RNA", at positions 29 to 507 of the family's 1533-position model. The record is from RNAcentral.